This 435-nucleotide long non-coding RNA is filed under the name Homo sapiens (human). Its description in RNAcentral is "HSALNT0038686". Lineage: Eukaryota; Metazoa; Chordata; Mammalia; Primates; Hominidae. The record is from RNAcentral.
CUCAGUUCCUGUAGCAAAGAGACUUGAGUCUGAGCCACUAAUUAUCACCCGUGAGGUUUCCUCCCCGAGCAGGAAGCAGCAGGCCAGAGCUGCGCUCUCUCAGUGCACUCUCCAACCAAGCAUCAGUCACCACUCCCGGUCCAGCCCCUGUGGCCAAGAGCUGGCGUGCAGGCUGCGGGAGGCAGCUGGCUGUGCAAGACCCUGGCAGGGCCCUCGCCUCCUGAGAAACCGAGAGUCAGAACCAAAGCCAGGCUGUCCUGGUUGGAGACUGAGCCAGAAAGGGUGGCUCACCUCACGGUGAGGCUGUCGAGUGACCUGAGAGCCUCAGACCCUCACGUCAGCCGGAUGUCGCACCAGCCUGCUGUUGGUUCAAGCGAUUCUCCUGCUUCAGCCUCCGGAGUAGCUGGGAUUACAGGCACGUGCCAACACACCCAG